CAACCAAUGGGGAGAUCUCGCCAGGCAGGAUUUCUUUCCCCAGGGAAAUAUCCUGUGUUUCGGUGUCCUGAAAGCACAAGAAUGACAAAACUGUACUCAGUAAAUAACUUGCCCAAAGUCACACAACUGCUGUCGGCUUAGCAGGCAGGAGCACUCACUGACAGCAUGGUGUCUCCUGAGUCCCCCCAGCCCCACGCCAUCUCUGUCCCAGACCCACAGCAGCCUGAGUCGUUCACUGUGAAACCGAGUCGCUGGGAAUGUAGUCAACAUCGAUCGGCAGGGCAGACGAAGAAGAAAGGCUCUGUGUGAGCCAGCACGUUGUUUUCCUUCAGGAAUUCCUUUUUAAUUUUACUAGUUUUUCCAUUGUCUGGCAUUUCUAAUAUGGUCACAAAAUAAAAAGGCAAUUAUUUACCUCUCUUUCCUAU
Camelus dromedarius (Arabian camel) is the source of this 425-nucleotide long non-coding RNA. RefSeq lists it as uncharacterized. The record is from RefSeq and is a predicted model, not a curated record. Lineage: Eukaryota; Metazoa; Chordata; Mammalia; Artiodactyla; Camelidae. The transcript is spliced from 3 exons.